RNAcentral lists this ribosomal RNA (809 nucleotides) under uncultured bacterium. RNAcentral's name for it is "bacterial SSU rRNA". It matches the Rfam family "Bacterial small subunit ribosomal RNA", at positions 62 to 903 of the family's 1533-position model. The record is from RNAcentral.
UCGAACGAGAAAGUGGAGCAAUCCAUGAGUAAAGUGGCGCACGGGUGAGUAACACGUGACUAACCUACCCUGGAGUGGGGGAUAACUGAGGGAAACCUUAGCUAAUACCGCAUAAUACCUACGGGUCAAAGGAGCAAUUCGCUUUGGGAGGGGGUCGCGGCCGAUUAGUUAGUUGGCGGGGUAAUGGCCCACCAAGACGAUGAUCGGUAUCCGGCCUGAGAGGGCGCACGGACACACUGGAACUGAAACACGGUCCAGACUCCUACGGGAGGCAGCAGUGGGGAAUCUUGCACAAUGGGGGAAACCCUGAUGCAGCGACGCCGCGUGAACGAUGAAGCCCUUCGGGGUGUAAAGUUCUUUCGGCAGGGAAGAUGAUGACGGUACCUGCAGAAGCAGCUGCGGCUAACUACGUGCCAGCAGCCGCGGUAAUACGUAGGCAGCGAGCGUUGUUCGGAGUUACUGGGCGUAAAGGGUGUGUAGGCGGCUCUCUAAGUUUGGUGUGAAAUCUCCCGGCUCAACCGGGAGGGUGCGCCGAAAACUGGGGGGCUAGAGUGCGGGAUGGGAGAGUAGAAUUCCUGGUGUAGCGGUGAAAUGCGUAGAUAUCAGGAGGAAUACCGGUGGUGUAGACGGCUCUCUGGACCGCAACUGACGCUGAGACACGAAAGCGUGGGUAGCAAACAGGAUUAGAUACCCUGGUAGUCCACGCCCUAAACGAUGCAUAUUUUGGUGUAGGUCAUUCAGUUGAUCUGUGCCGGAGCUAACGCGUUAAAUAUGCCGCCUGGGGAGUACAGUCGCAAGGCUGAAACUCA